UCUACGUGUGCAUUUAGCAAUUUAUGUUGGCUGACCAUACUCCACCAUCCGCUACCUCUCUUCCGUGAUUAGCCCCGACCUUCGCUACCUCUCCCGUGAUUAGCGCCGACCUUCUCCACUCAAUCCCUCCCAGUAGAAUCCCUUCUGCCGCUACUAUGCAAGCCAUCGCCGGGGACGCACGAGAUGCCUGUCGUCACCACGCACACGAGCCACGAUGGGGAGAGACCGAGAGAGGGAGAGGUGGCCAGCCAUGGUAAGGUGUCGUUCAUCCGGCGAGCGUGGAGAAAUUGGGACGGGAGGAAACAAAGAAACCCCCACGCGCCCACGCCCACCACUGGAACCGUCGCCCCGCACCAGAUGCCUACACGGAUGGUGGCCGAGCGGAGGAGGGGGAGGCCGAAGUGCUCGCCGUCCCCUUCCGCAGUUCGGCGCUACCCGCACGCUGGAGGGGGUCCCCAGCACAGACCGGAUCCCCAUCUAUGGUCGGACGCUUCGACCUCCUGGGUAGGCAUGGCAAGUCCCGCAUCCGCGUCUGACACCGUCCCGCCUCGGCCGACGGCCACCUCUUCGCCGAGUGGAGCGUCACCGUCAGUGUCGUCUCCGACUGCCAUCGUCGUCACCGACUCCAUCAAGAACACCGUGUAUGUGAAGGCAAGGAGUGUUUCCUGGGAAGGCAUUUCACCUCACUAUACCCGCAGCGAGGCGCGAUGGCCACUGUGUGGCGUGCGCGGCUCGGCGGGCUGAGGGAGCGCGGGGUUAAUGGCCAGAGGGAGUGCAGCGGCCGGAGGUGAAGGGCGAGCGUGAACUGCGGUCGAGGUUCGUGUGUGGUAUGGACGAGCUGUCGGUUGGCUGAAUGCGUGGUGCACAGGCAGUAGUAGCAGGCACGAGCUGUUUACGCUGCUUUUCUCUGUAUUUUUCCUCCACAGAGGCAGUAGCAGGGUCAGGGACAGGACCAACAAAUCUCUCUGAAUUUUUGCAGGUCCAUACUUGCAUUCCCCCCUGUCUUUUUGUGUCAACUAGCUGCCAUCUAUUCGCCAACAUCUGCUGUUGUGCGCAAGAUUUAGUUAUCGGAGUGCGCACACCACGUGCUUGUGUUGCUGUUGUGAGGCCAUGGUGGAGGAGGGGGUGGCCCUGUUCUAUGGCGGCGCCGUUGGGGAGAGGCUGGUGGAGGACGUGCAGAUUGCGGUGACUCGACUGAGACAGGCAAUAAGCAUCGGAUUAUACAUCGUAUUCGGAGCUAUAGCUUUUAAUAUUAAUGUAUUUUCAAAGUUGCUAGCCUAUGCUUAUAUGGGGAGCUACAGCUUGUAGAUGUAUUCAGAAUGAUUUUCACGAAGUUGUGACAUUGUCUAACAAUUUGACAUUUGCUCACUGGGAAUUGAAUGAAAACAUCUACUAAGAAAUUAAAUGUGUAUACAAGUGAGCAUUCAUCUCCUUCUUUAUGUUCUCUUCCGAAAUGUGUUUUUUAAGCUUAUCAAUUUCGUCAGUAUAGUUGGAGAGUUAGUUUAUGUGCUUAUUCCCAGUUGACUAUGCCCAAUUCACUUAACAUGAUUUUUGGAUUCAAUUUUCAGAAAUAACUCAUAUGAAGAACUGAGGCUUUGGUGUGGUCAUUGGCCUCCUGAACUGCCAAGCUGUAAAUCUUCAGGUAUUUAGAUAGGUUGAUACGAGGAUUUGCUUUCAA
RNA transcript from Triticum aestivum (bread wheat), 1678 nucleotides. RefSeq lists it as uncharacterized. The record is from RefSeq and is a predicted model, not a curated record. The transcript is spliced from 3 exons. Lineage: Eukaryota; Viridiplantae; Streptophyta; Magnoliopsida; Poales; Poaceae.